UUCACCUCAGGUAUGCAUCACAGACAACUGCAGUCUGGUAUACACAUGGUAAAAGCAUAACACAGAGUUGAUCUUGCAGCCAUGCCCUUCAACCUCAUGAAGGAGAGGCUCGAGUUCAUUGACGCAGAUAAGUGCGAGUGCAAGUCGACUCUUAUCGAGGGCGGUGGCAUCGGCAUGGCGAUCGAGACAGCCACUUCGCACAUCAAGGUGGAGCCGGCAGCAAACGGUGGGAGCAUAGUGAAGGUGGAAUCGACAUACAAGCUGCUUCCAGGCGUGGAGGUGAAUGAUGAGAUUACCAAGGCCAAGGAUUCCGUCACGGCCAUCUUCAAGGCCGCCGAGGCCUACCUCAUCGCCAACCCAGACGCCUACAACUAAAUCAGUUGAGGGAUCAAAUACGAUUAUGUUCUCCCUGGUUUGAUUUUUGUGUGGUUUCUUCCUGAAUAAUAAGGCUGCUCUAAUCUCCAAGUAGUGAUGCGAGAACACUAAUUAAGUAGAGUGUGGACCUGAGAAGUUUAAAAUGUGUAUUUGUAACUAUCAAAUGGAGCUGUUGUUUGAUGAUGUUGCUGCUUGCUUAUGUAUAUUCCUCAUGAUUUCGUAUGGGAAUAAAAGGAAGUAUGUUUUUUUAGCAACAUAAAAGGAAGUAUGCGAAACACAUAAAAGGAAGUGGAAGUUUAUGGGCCAAGAAAGUCUUGUGUUUGCUCGAGUGACUAUAAUGUCUUCUGCUCUUCUCAUAUACAGGAGGAAACGGUUUGAAUGUAUAUGUUAUUUUAUUUUAUUUUUGCCAUCACAUUUUUUUUGCCAAGUCCCUCUAUUAGACCCAUUUAGUUUCUCCUCGCAAAAAAGAUCCUUUUAGUUUCUUCCGUUGUAGCUUUGCUGACGACUUGUCCUUUCCUCUCGUUAUGAGCGACUCAGAAGCCCUAUCCGCCGCCUACAUCUCCAAGACUCCAACCCUCUUGGUGCUGCCGCCGUAGGGGGGUGGGGGGUGGAGGGUCUGUUCACCUGGGAGUUUCAGGCGAUGUGGAUUGGCAGUUGUAGCGGAUCAGAGCAGGUGGCAACUGGAGAUGUGCGGCCAGGUGACGGUGGUUCUUGACCUGUGGUGCUGAACAACAAUGUUGCAUGUGCCAACGACGUCCGGAGGUCCCCCAAGAUAGGGUCCUAGAUGGCGGCAGACUGACUUUUGGCUCGACAUCACCGUGAAACAACAUUGGACUCUUGGUUUAGACUGGGUUUAUGGAGUCUUUGUGUGUUGGUCGGGGCAGCGAGGAGACACGGCGACGUUGCUACAAUUCAAGAAUAAUGUCUCCCUGUCAUAUCCCUGCACUUAGUGUCGGUGGAGGGCAUGUGGAGGUGAGCCUUCGAUAAAUCUUUGUGGAACUGAGCGGCUUUGGUCUCCAGUGGGUUUCAUCUAUAUAUAUUCGGUCGGUGUUAUUGGUCUUUGGAGUUUCUAUAGGCUCUUUUCAGCGUUUUCAUCCCCGACACGGCUAUUUGUCAUGCGGAUCAUGGUCGGCAGUGUUUUUUGAUCUGCAUCGACGACUUCUCGACCACUACUUCUAAGAGCUCCUUGGUUUUAAAAAGUUUGCUCCACCAAGUUGGAGACGCAAAGGCGGCAUUGAGCUUUGCUCAUGGUCGCCGCCGGUAGAUGUAGAAGGAAGAAGAUUUCAGCACCCCUAAGGAUUUGGAUGUGACUUUUUUAUAAAGGUCUGUUUGUAAGGACUUGUGAUACUUAAUAUAUGACUUUAGCCUUUUCACAAAAAAAGUCUCAAGCUGUUAGCGCUCGGCCAAGCCUCAAGUUUCUCUUCAGAAAUUGGGGCCUAGAGAUUUAAUGCUCUCAUAUCCCAUUUUUCAAAUUAGGAUGUGCUACUUAGUGUAGUGUUGGGUUUUCCGCGAACAGAAAGGGAUGAAGUAGUAUAGUAGCAAAUAUUUAUUUUUUCAGUUAAGAACCAAGGUUUAUCAAACCAAUAGGAGCACCACACAAACAAGAUAGACGGCACCUGCACACACACAAAGCAAAAAUGCUUGCACCCAACGAAGGUAAGAGGAUUGUCAAUCUUCUUGUUCUCGCCAAUUGUAAGGAUUAAAUCUGAUAGUGGUAACAUAAUAAAAAUAUUGGAUAGCAGGACACUCAAUGCAACUGGCCCUAUAGUUAUGACCUUCAAAACUCAUCUCAUAGAAUAAAUGUACUGGAGGUGGGUGUAGCAUGUCGUGGGCAUAACGGCCAUGGCCGUCCUCAUCUCAUAGAAUAAAUGUAUUGGAGGUGGGUGUAGCACGUCGUGGGCAUAACGGCCAUGGCCGUCAUUGUUGGUGAAGCCAAAGUGAAUCCACCCUUCUGUUAAGGACAUGUCAAAGCUUUUUGCCAUGAGCCAAAAAGUAAUUCGGUCCUCGUCGCUCGCGAAUUAAGCCUGAAGCAUCUAGCCUUCUCGAGCAGGACAAAAACCCUAAGCGAUCCACACCUAAGAACGAAGCAAUAUCCCUCCUGCCGGCAAGGCCGGGGUCGAUCGUGCCUCCAUGACCCUAAAGGCCACAUGGGACGAGGAAAUCGACGGUGUCGCCAACGGGAGGUAGGAAAAGCUAAUCACAUGUGCGCCCGAGUCAUGAGAUGAAGCGGUAGAUUCUUAGGCCUACUCAGUGAGCCUUUUAUUUACUAGUUUUUAAAUGAAUUUAGGGACUAAUCACCUUUUUAUUGACGCUCAAUUAGAUCUUUGGUUGCGAAUGACAAACUCUUAUCCUUCUUCAAAGUUAAUGGACAUAAAGACAAGCACCAAACAGUGUGCCAACAUCUCAAAUGCAACCCAUCUAAGGGCAUCUCCAGCAGCAAACAUCAAACAAACUCCUCCAUUUAUCCGUGGACACGUCCAAACGUGUUCAUUGACAAUCGGGCGGGCGCUGACCAUCCAAUGGUAGCCCCCAAAAGACCCCUACUUGUAUGCCCCUCUUUUUUUUUUCGAAGUCAUUCUCCUAACACUGAAAUAAUUCUAAGAUUAAUAUUAGAAUGCAACAAUAAUUAAAAUAAUAAAUAUUUCAAUGCCACAAUAGUUAAAAUAUAAAUAUCCAAUCCAAAUAUAAAGUUUCCAAAUAACAUAGUUCAAAUUGAAAUUCAAAUUAUUCAACACUCGAUAUCCUGAACCCUUGGAGCCGAGAACAUGCUCGUUUCUUCAAGAUGCCAUCAUUAUCGUUGUUUCAUUGUCUUCCACCUCAUUAUCUGAUGAAGAACAACCCAUGAGCUCCUCCUUCUAAAAGUACUCCUUGUCUGGAUCCAUCGUGUUUCUUGAAACUAUACAACGAAGAUGUCAAAGAAUGAAUUAUGGAAUUUGACCGAACACUUGCUGUGCCAUGUGUCCGGCAUGGACGACAACGGUUGGGGUGGACGAUACAAGGGCGAGUGAUGGAUCCAACGACGACGUCUUGAUGGAGAGGCGGCUGGGUGGAAUGGCAGGGGUACAUCAAGGCUUGAGCAUCGUCCGAGGGGGUGCGGGGUGGUUCCGAUGGAUUUGGGUUGGUCCAGGCUGCCGGAGUCCGACACGGAGGACGCCCGAACUUAUCGGUCUUGAGAAUUAUGGCCCAAAUCAGGGGUCCACGUCCUAUAAGUGCCAAAACAAUCAAGUCCAGAUAUUUGGGGCCGAAAUGAAGUUCCGCAUUGGAGAUGCCCUGACCAUCUCUUGAAUAAAACUGACUAGAUACAGUGCAAGGUCCUUGGUUAGUUGCUUAAAAAAUAAACCAAGUUUUGUUUAGCAUCAUUUUUUGUUUUUAUAGUAAACGUGCCUAAGUGCUAUACAAAUAAAAGGCAUCAAUGCUUAAAUUUCACUUUCACAGGCAUCUCUCUAAUCAGCUUGCAUUGUACAUGGUCAAAGAUGAUAAAGUGUGAUAUACAAUGGGUUUGCAUUAAAAAAGAACAAUAACGUGUGUUUCCCAGCACAUGCGGCGAGCAAAAUAUGAUUACAGACGAAUGCAACCCAGCAUCUCAACUAGUAGCUGAUUUACGUGUAAUGAUACAUGUACACACCCACAUGCAUUUGUUAAUGGGUAACACAGCUGGCUAAUAUAUCACCUACUAGCACUAGAACAAUUUCCCCACGCGGACCGUGGUGCCAAUUGGAUAGAGAACACAUUCUUCUCCUAACUAAAGAUUGACAAGCACUUAAAAAUAACACUAAAGAUUGACAAAAGCGCGAUCUCUCAGACCCAGCAAUGAUAAAAGGUUAGCCCACCGACGGUGCCAUCCAAUUUGGGAAACCUCUUUGGCGCCUUUACCAGUCUCCACUUACCAGACCCAUCCCCUGCUUAAGCUUCACCAACCCCUGCUUUCAAGCCCCUAUUUAUAGGGCUCACUUCUGCUCUCUAGGAAAUCAAGCAGCUUUGCGCCAUUACAACAGUCACAGCUCACAUCACUUGCACUGGUACUAGUUUGAUCAUCAUAGCAAUGGCCUCCACCAACAGCUGGACCCAUGAGAUUGAGUCGCCGGUCGCUGCAUCGCGCCUCUUCCGUGCCGGCGUCAUGGACUGGCACACCCUGGCCCCCAAGCUUGCGCCACAGAUCGUCGCCAGUGCCCACCCCGUUGAAGGAGAAGGUGGCAUCGGCAGUGUCAGGCAGUUCAACUUCACCUCAGGUAUGCAUCACAUACAACUCAUAUCACCUGCAGUCUGGUACAGAUUGUCAAAGCGUAAAACAGAGUUGAUCUUGCAGCCAUGCCCUUCAACCUCAUGAAGGAGAGGCUCGAGUUCAUUGACGCGGACAAGUGCGAGUGCAAGUCAACCAUCAUCGAGGGUGGUGGCAUCGGCACGGAAAUUGAGACGGCCACAUCGCACAUCAAGGUGGAGCCGACAGCUAAUGGCGGGAGCGUGG
RNAcentral lists this long non-coding RNA (4840 nucleotides) under Triticum aestivum (bread wheat). RNAcentral describes it as "long non-coding RNA (TAES_LNC014324)". The record is from RNAcentral. Lineage: Eukaryota; Viridiplantae; Streptophyta; Magnoliopsida; Poales; Poaceae.